Cannabis sativa is the source of this 596-nucleotide long non-coding RNA. RefSeq lists it as uncharacterized. Lineage: Eukaryota; Viridiplantae; Streptophyta; Magnoliopsida; Rosales; Cannabaceae. The transcript is spliced from 2 exons. The record is from RefSeq and is a predicted model, not a curated record.
UUUUUUUUUUUUUUGUGUGAAAACGAAACUACUCAUAUAUACUUUGAUUGUUCUUGAGGAACAAGAACAAUUGCAGAAUAAAUGAAAGCCAAUAUACAUUACAUUCAUAAUUCACACACUACCCAGAUUUAUUUAUAUGAGGAAGAUAAACAGAUCUCUCCCUCCAAUACCCAUAUAUAUAUACUAGACCCAGAACUCGUCGUUGUCCAUAGCUGCUGCUUUUCUCAUCUGGGGUCUACUCUCAAAACUGAAACCCAAACAGCACCCUAUCAACCAAAUCUAUUGUUGAUAUCUCCCUCACCAGUCACCACCGUCGACUCCAACCCCAAAACCAGUCUACGCGAACCCAGAUCUGCCCAUCCUCACCAACGAGCCCAGAUCUUCCCAGUCUCACCAACGAAUCUAGAUCUGCCCAAUCUCACCAACGUACCCAGAUCUUCCUUCCGUGACCUUCGUUCGUUGUAAAUCACCGACGUCGUGGACCUCUCCAUUGUAGAACUAGUGAGAACUGAGAAGAAGAUGAAGGUCGAGAAGAAGAAGAAUGUGUGGUUUUUUUUUUUUUUUUUUUUUUUUUUUUUUUUAAGAAAAAAUUCUGU